AGGAGUUGCCCUUCCCAAAGGCAGUGGCAUUGUCACAAGAUGUUCUCUAUUAUUGGGGCUGAAAAAACUUGUUUAUGAUGAUAGGUGAAGAGACAGGGUCAGUCACUGGCUUUUGAGAUCCAGAUUUCAGAUGCUUCAGAGACAGGAAGGAAAAAAAGUCACUGAAGCCCAAUAUUGCUAGGAAAGGAAUAUGAAUCAGUCAUAUGCUAAUCCUACUGAAGAUAGGUCCUCACAUAUCCAGUAGACCUUCCUGGUACAAGGAGUGUAUUAUUCAUUCAGCCUGCUCACAUUUAGUGGUAAAGGAAGGCACUCAUCAAGAGGCACAUCCACAAGCAAGAAAUGAUCCACUUGGUGGUCAUUAGUUACAUGGACAUUUUUCAUCAUAGGGGUGAUGAAAAUUGCUCAGAAAGUAGGCCCUAACACAGAUAGCACCACAAUAAUCUUGACAAAGCCUGAUCUGGCAGCCAAAGUACCAAAUACAAGAUCCUUCAUGUGAUAUGAACCCUGGCGUUCC
Molecule: long non-coding RNA, 514 nt
Filed under: Homo sapiens (human)
Lineage: Eukaryota; Metazoa; Chordata; Mammalia; Primates; Hominidae
Description: non-protein coding lnc-ZNF518B-4:1
Source: RNAcentral